RNAcentral lists this ribosomal RNA (933 nucleotides) under Pseudomonas aeruginosa. RNAcentral describes it as "bacterial SSU rRNA". It matches the Rfam family "Bacterial small subunit ribosomal RNA", at positions 28 to 963 of the family's 1533-position model. Lineage: Bacteria; Pseudomonadati; Pseudomonadota; Gammaproteobacteria; Pseudomonadales; Pseudomonadaceae. The record is from RNAcentral.
GUAGUACGCUAGAGUUUGAUCUGGCUCAGUAAGUCGUAACAAGGUAACCGUAGAGUUUGAUCUUGGUUCAGGUAAUGCCUACGAAGCAGCCGGGUAGUGGGGGAUUACGUCCGGAAACGGGCGCUAAUACCGCAUACGUCCUGAGGGAGAAAGUGGGGGAUCUUCGGACCUCACGCUAUCGGAUGAGCCUAGGUCGGAUUAGCUAAUUGGUGGGGUAAAGGCCUACCAAGGCGACGAUCCGUAACUGGUCUGAGAGGAUGAUCAGUCACACUGGAACUGAGACACGGUCCAGACUCCUACGGGAGGCAGCAGUGGGGAAUAUUGGACAAUGGGCGAAAGCCUGAUCCAGCCAUGCCGCGUGUGUGAAGAAGGUCUUCGGAUUGUAAAGCACUUUAAGUUGGGAGGAAGGGCAGUAAGUUAAUACCUUGCUGUUUUGACGUUACCAACAGAAUAAGCACCGGCUAACUUCGUGCCAGCAGCCGCGGUAAUACGAAGGGUGCAAGCGUUAAUCGGAAUUACUGGGCGUAAAGCGCGCGUAGGUGGUUCAGCAAGUUGGAUGUGAAAUCCCCGGGCUCAACCUGGGAACUGCAUCCAAAACUACUGAGCUAGAGUACGGUAGAGGGUGGUGGAAUUUCCUGUGUAGCGGUGAAAUGCGUAGAUAUAGGAAGGAACACCAGUGGCGAAGGCGACCACCUGGACUGAUACUGACACUGAGGUGCGAAAGCGUGGGGAGCAAACAGGAUUAGAUACCCUGGUAGUCCACGCCGUAAACGAUGUCGACUAGCCCGUUGGGAUCCUUGAGAUCUUAGUGGCGCAGCUAACCCGAUAAAUCGACCGCCUGGGGAGUACCGCCGCCAGGUUAAAACUCAAAUGAAUUUGACGGGGGGCCCCCCCAAGCGGGGGAAAAUUGUGGUUUUAUUUCUAAACAACGCG